RNAcentral lists this ribosomal RNA (253 nucleotides) under uncultured bacterium. RNAcentral's name for it is "partial 16S ribosomal RNA". It matches the Rfam family "Bacterial small subunit ribosomal RNA", at positions 524 to 776 of the family's 1533-position model. The record is from RNAcentral.
UACGAAGGGGGCUAGCGUUGCUCGGAAUCACUGGGCGUAAAGCGCACGUAGGCGGAUUGUUAAGUCAGGGGUGAAAUCCUGGAGCUCAACUCCAGAACUGCCUUUGAUACUGGCGAUCUUGAGUCCGGGAGAGGUGAGUGGAACUGCGAGUGUAGAGGUGAAAUUCGUAGAUAUUCGCAAGAACACCAGUGGCGAAGGCGGCUCACUGGCCCGAUACUGACACUGAGGCACGAAAGCGUGGGGAGCAAACAGG